AGAGUUUGAUCCUGGCUCAGGAUGAACGCUAGCUACAGGCUUAACACAUGCAAGUCGAGGGGCAGCAUGGUCUUAGCUUGCUAAGGCCGAUGGCGACCGGCGCACGGGUGAGUAACACGUAUCCAACCUGCCGUCUACUCUUGGACAGCCUUCUGAAAGGAAGAUUAAUACAAGAUGGCAUCAUGAGUCCGCAUGUUCACAUGAUUAAAGGUAUUCCGGUAGACGAUGGGGAUGCGUUCCAUUAGAUAGUAGGCGGGGUAACGGCCCACCUAGUCUUCGAUGGAUAGGGGUUCUGAGAGGAAGGUCCCCCACAUUGGAACUGAGACACGGUCCAAACUCCUACGGGAGGCAGCAGUGAGGAAUAUUGGUCAAUGGGCGAGAGCCUGAACCAGCCAAGUAGCGUGAAGGAUGACUGCCCUAUGGGUUGUAAACUUCUUUUAUAAAGGAAUAAAGUCGGGUAUGCAUACCCGUUUGCAUGUACUUUAUGAAUAAGGAUCGGCUAACUCCGUGCCAGCAGCCGCGGUAAUACGGAGGAUCCGAGCGUUAUCCGGAUUUAUUGGGUUUAAAGGGAGCGUAGAUGGAUGUUUAAGUCAGUUGUGAAAGUNUGCGGCUCAACCGUAAAAUUGCAGUUGAUACUGGAUAUCUUGAGUGCAGUUGAGGCAGGCGGAAUUCGUGGUGUAGCGGUGAAAUGCUUAGAUAUCACGAAGAACUCCGAUUGCGAAGGCAGCCUGCUAAGCUGCAACUGACAUUGAGGCUCGAAAGUGUGGGUAUCAAACAGGAUUAGAUACCCUGGUAGUCCACACGGUAAACGAUGAAUACUCGCUGUUUGCGAUAUACAGCAAGCGGCCAAGCGAAAGCGUUAAGUAUUCCACCUGGGGAGUACGCCGGCAACGGUGAAACUCAAAGGAAUUGACGGGGGCCCGCACAAGCGGAGGAACAUGUGGUUUAAUUCGAUGAUACGCGAGGAACCUUACCCGGGCUUAAAUUGCAGAUGAAUUACGGUGAAAGCCGUAAGCCGCAAGGCAUCUGUGAAGGUGCUGCAUGGUUGUCGUCAGCUCGUGCCGUGAGGUGUCGGCUUAAGUGCCAUAACGAGCGCAACCCUUGUUGUCAGUUACUAACAGGUUCCGCUGAGGACUCUGACAAGACUGCCAUCGUAAGAUGUGAGGAAGGUGGGGAUGACGUCAAAUCAGCACGGCCCUUACGUCCGGGGCUACACACGUGUUACAAUGGGGGGUACAGAGGGCCGCUACCACGCGAGUGGAUGCCAAUCCCCAAAACCUCUCUCAGUUCGGACUGGAGUCUGCAACCCGACUCCACGAAGCUGGAUUCGCUAGUAAUCGCGCAUCAGCCACGGCGCGGUGAAUACGUUCCCGGGCCUUGUACACACCGCCCGUCA
This 1396-nucleotide ribosomal RNA is filed under the name uncultured bacterium. RNAcentral's name for it is "16S ribosomal RNA". It matches the Rfam family "Bacterial small subunit ribosomal RNA". The record is from RNAcentral.